This 720-nucleotide ribosomal RNA is filed under the name uncultured anaerobic ammonium-oxidizing bacterium. RNAcentral's name for it is "bacterial SSU rRNA". It matches the Rfam family "Bacterial small subunit ribosomal RNA", at positions 565 to 1274 of the family's 1533-position model. The record is from RNAcentral.
GAGCACGUAGGUGGGUUUGUAAGUCAGAUGUGAAAGCCUUCUGUUCAACGGAAGAAUUGCAUCUGAAACUACAAACCUUGAGUAUAGGAGGGGAGAGUGGAACUUCUGGUGGAGCGGUGAAAUGCGUAGAUAUCAGAAGGAACGCCGGCGGCGAAAGCGGCUCUCUGGCCUAUUACUGACACUGAGUGUGCGAAAGCUAGGGGAGCAAACGGGAUUAGAUACCCCGGUAGUCCUAGCCGUAAACGAUGGGCACUAAGUAGGGGAAACUACCGAUGUUUUCUCUGCCGUAGCUAACGCAUUAAGUGCCCCGCCUGGGGAGUACGGCCGCAAGGCUAAAACUCAAAAGAAUUGACGGGGGCUCGCACAAGCGGUGGAGCAUGUGGCUUAAUUCGAUGCAACGCGAAAAACCUUACCGGGGUUUGACAUGAUAGAAGUAGGAACUCGAAAGAGGGACCAACGGUAUCCAGUCCGUAACUACCACAGGUGUUGCAUGGCUGUCGUCAGCUCGUGUCGUGAGACGUUGGGUUAAGUCCCCUAACGAGCGAAACCCUUGUUUUUAGUUACCAGCGGGUUAAGCCGGGUACUCUAGAGAGACUGCCGUCAUCAAGACGGAGGAAGGUGGGGAUGACGUCAAGUCAUCAUGGCCCUUAUACCCCGGGCUGCACACGUGCUACAAUGGUCGGUACAAAAGGAAGCGAGACCGAGAGGUGAAGCGAAUCC